UUGGCUAAACCGGUAGCCUCUCCCAGCUGUCUGUUUUGAAACGCAUAUACCCCUAGAAGAAGUUGCAGAUUCAACUAUUAACCCUUCACUGGGCGGCUUUUAAUUAGCCCUUGGCACUGGGACUUGGAGGUGGGCUGGUUUGGGAACACUGGACAAAGGUCUCAGGGUCUGAAGCCCCAAGGGGCAGUCGUGUGGGAGGAGCCUCAAGUUAACACCACCUACUUAAUCUCCUUCCCACCUCCUCCUUUCCUGUCCUGAAGUCCUCUCUUCCGCCUUACCUGGUCCCUGGCCCUGCCACUGCUAACAGGAGUGGUUUCUACUUUGUUAAUCAGACACCAUCACUCCGAGCACCAAGUCCGAUAAGGGCAGGGUCUCUAAGAGUCAUCUGCAAAUGCUUCCCAUUAUGUGCUCAGUCAGGAUUUGCUGAGUAGACAGGAACUCGUGGACAGACAUUAUGCAUAUAGUAGAAGAUUACAAGGACAGGAGCCCUCUUGUGAAGGUUGAAUGUUCAACCAAAGCAAAGAGCACCAGUAACAGAUGGCCAAAGACUAUAGAAAAGGAAAGUACUCGCCCGUGGUGUGUUAAAGAGAAAUUUCCUGAAAAGAAAAAGGAAAAAAGAAAGUCAGCCAUAUGGACAUGGACUUCCUGCUGCAGGUCUGUGGACUCCAAGCAAGGGCACACAACCUCCACUGGGGGGAGGGAAAAAAUAUUAGUGCUUUAAUUUGUAAAUGCUAUCUUGUUGGGAAUUUCUGUUUCUUUCUUUCUUUUUUGCGUUUAUUUAUUUUUUAAGGGGAUACAUAUAUUUUUAAGUUUAUUUAUUUAUUUUGAGAGAGAAAAAAAGAGAGAGAGAGCGAAUCCCAAGCAGGCUCCACGCUGUCAGCACAGAGCCCCACAUAGGGCUCGAUCUCACAACUGUGAGAUCAUGACCUGAGCUGAAAUCAAGAGUCAGACGCUUAACCAACGAAGCCAUCCAGGGCAUCAUUGAGGCUAUGUGGUGAAAAAUGUCAGAACCACAGGAUGGAAUGAGCCUGGAUCCUGGAAUCACUCCUGAAAGAAAGCUUCCUAUGAGAAAUCCCAACCAUGAACACCUGCUUUGAACUUUAUGUGACUGAUAAAUAAACAUUAAUUGUAUUAAGCCACUGAGACUGGAGAUCAUUAU
Long non-coding RNA from Panthera uncia (snow leopard), 1159 nucleotides. RefSeq lists it as uncharacterized. The transcript has 5 exons. The record is from RefSeq and is a predicted model, not a curated record. Lineage: Eukaryota; Metazoa; Chordata; Mammalia; Carnivora; Felidae.